Molecule: ribosomal RNA, 253 nt
Filed under: uncultured bacterium
Lineage: Bacteria
Description: partial 16S ribosomal RNA
Rfam family: Bacterial small subunit ribosomal RNA
Source: RNAcentral
UACGGAGGGUGCAAGCGUUAUCCGGAUUCACUGGGUUUAAAGGGUCCGUAGGCGGUUUUGUAAGUCAGUGGUGAAAGCCCAUCGCUCAACGGUGGAACGGCCAUUGAUACUGCAAAACUUGAAUUAUUGGGAAGUAACUAGAAUAUGUAGUGUAGCGGUGAAAUGCUUAGAUAUUACAUGGAAUACCAAUUGCGAAGGCAGGUUACUAUCAAUAUAUUGACGCUGAUGGACGAAAGCGUGGGGAGCGAACAGG